GAGGGUGUAGCUCAGGGGCAGAGCACGUGCUUCGUGUACACGAGGUCCUGGGUUCAACCCCCAGCACCUCCG
This 72-nucleotide transfer RNA is filed under the name Camelus bactrianus (Bactrian camel). It matches the Rfam family "tRNA". Rfam says of the family: Transfer RNA (tRNA) molecules are approximately 80 nucleotides in length. Their secondary structure includes four short double-helical elements and three loops (D, anti-codon, and T loops). Further hydrogen bonds mediate the characteristic L-shaped molecular structure. tRNAs have two regions of fundamental functional importance: the anti-codon, which is responsible for specific mRNA codon recognition, and the 3' end, to which the tRNAs corresponding amino acid is attached (by aminoacyl-tRNA synthetases). tRNAs cope with the degeneracy of the genetic code in two manners: having more than one tRNA (with a specific anti-codon) for a particular amino acid; and 'wobble' base-pairing, i.e. permitting non-standard base-pairing at the 3rd anti-codon position. RNAcentral also lists the same sequence under 2 other names. Lineage: Eukaryota; Metazoa; Chordata; Mammalia; Artiodactyla; Camelidae. The record is from Rfam by way of RNAcentral.